AAAGGGCAAAAAAACAGAACAUAUAACACAUCCAAGUUCUAAAACAAAUACAACACAAUAUAGAAUCUAAAAUUCAAAGUUUUAAAGUAAUAAACAUCCACAAAUACAAAUCCAUAACAUAAUUCUACAAUUUAAAGCUCAAAUUUCCAGCCACUAGUGCUAAAGACUAAACUCUGAAUCAUCCACUUCAUUUGACUGUUGCUCACUCAUCCAACUUUCAUCAAUCAAAUGCUCUGCAGAAAGUAUUGCUUCCUCUGGAAUUCCAUCUACAAAAAAAUGUGUAAAUCAUAAACAUAAUGAACAACACAACCAAUUAGUGAUAAAUUGAUAAUAAGAACAAUACAACAAAUAAUUUGAUUCUAAUAAAUAAAAUUUUCAUACCUUUUAAGUUUUGUUCAACUAAAUAUGAAUCAAGAAUUCAUAAGAUUAAGAUUUUGAAGAGACAUUAUUAAUCAAGAAAAUUACAGGACAUUAACUUUGAAUUCUUAACAAGAACAUUAUUAAUCAUGAAUUCAUAAGAUUAAGAUUUUGAAUCGGCAAACUCUUCAAUAACAUCAAGCACAGAGAGGAUAUUCAUAGACAGUGAGAGAGAGAGAAGAUUACAAAAAAUAUUACAUAUGUGUUCAAGAAAACCGUAGGACUGCAGCAAAUCAAAAAAAAUUUGGUUGUUUUUAUUUUUGUUUUUAUUUCUUUUUCUAUUCAGCUCAAAAUAACCCAGCCGAAGCUCAACUCAGCAAAACAAAACAAAACAAAAUAUCCUUGGCUCUCAAAUGUCCAAAAGAUAAGAUGAAUAAUGAAUAAAAAAGGAUGAGGCCAAAGCAGAAAGAUGCAGUUUUUUUUUCCUCCAGUACUACCUUUUUAUUAACACAACCCCACAACCACAAACUAAAACAUAAUUAAUUAAUACAAAUCAAGUCCAGUACCACUUUUUUAUUAACACAACCCCACAACCACAAACUAAAACAUAAUUAAUUAAUACAAAUCAAGUCAUAAAAGUACCUAAAUGCAUCAGUAACAAGAAAAGUUGCAAACUUUUGAUGAAUUAAAUAAAUAACAAAGAACCAACUUUUUGCUUACCAGAAGAAAUGGAUCCAAGAAACCACAAACGAACCCAGCCGCGACUGAGGUGGAUUUAAACCCUUUUGCUGGCCGCGACAGAAUGAGAGAUGAGAC
Molecule: long non-coding RNA, 1173 nt
Filed under: Citrus maxima (pomelo)
Lineage: Eukaryota; Viridiplantae; Streptophyta; Magnoliopsida; Sapindales; Rutaceae
Description: long non-coding RNA (CMAX_LNC000408)
Source: RNAcentral